UAACAAGGAUUCCCCUAGUAACGGCGAGCGAAGCGGGAAGAGCUCAAAUUUGAAAGCUGGCGUCUUCGGCGUCCGCGUUGUAAUCUCGAGACGUGUUUUCCGUGCGGCUCUAUGGACAAGUCCCUUGGAACAGGGCAUCGUAGAGGGUGAAAAUCCCGUACUUGCCAUGGAAGUACCGUGCUUUGUGAUACACGCUCCAAGAGUCGAGUAGUUUGGGAUUGCUGCUCAAAGUGGGUGGUAGACUCCAUCUAAAGCUAAUUAUCGGGCAGAGACCGAUAGCGAACAAGUACCGUGAGGGAAAGAUGAAAAGCACUUUGGAAAGAGAGUUAAAAGUACGUGAAUUUGUCGAAAGGGAAGCACUUGAAGUCAGCCAUGCUGCUUGAGACUCAGCCUGGCUUUUGCUUGGUGUAUUUCUCGGUAGCAAGCCAGCAUUGGUUUGUGUCGUCGGAGAAGCGUAUGGGGAAUGUGGCAUCCUCGGAUGUGUUAUAGCCCUGUGCAGGAUACGACGACGUAGACCAAGGAACGCAGUGUGCCCUCUGGGCGGGUCUUCGGACACCUUCACACUUAGGAUGCUGGCGUAAU
Molecule: ribosomal RNA, 582 nt
Filed under: uncultured Malassezia
Lineage: Eukaryota; Fungi; Basidiomycota; Malasseziomycetes; Malasseziales; Malasseziaceae
Description: eukaryotic LSU rRNA
Rfam family: Eukaryotic large subunit ribosomal RNA
Source: RNAcentral